This 498-nucleotide ribosomal RNA is filed under the name uncultured bacterium. RNAcentral's name for it is "partial 16S ribosomal RNA". It matches the Rfam family "Bacterial small subunit ribosomal RNA", at positions 30 to 523 of the family's 1533-position model. The record is from RNAcentral.
AUUGAACGCUGGCGGCAUGCCUUACACAUGCAAGUCGAACGGUAACAGGUCUUCGGAUGCUGACGAGUGGCGAACGGGUGAGUAAUACAUCGGAACGUGCCUAGUAGUGGGGGAUAACUACUCGAAAGAGUGGCUAAUACCGCAUGAGAUCUACGGAUGAAAGCAGGGGAUCGCAAGACCUUGUGCUACUAGAGCGGCCGAUGGCAGAUUAGGUAGUUGGUUGUAUAAAAGCUUACCAAGCCGACGAUCUGUAGCUGGUCUGAGAGGACGAUCAGCCACACUGGGACUCAGCCACGGCCCAGACUCCUACGGGAUGCAGAAGUGGGGAAUUUUGGACAAUGGGCGAAACCCUGAUCCAGCAAUGCCGCGUGCAGGAUGAAGGCCUUCGGGUUGUAAACUGCUUUUGUACGGAACGAAAAGCCCCGGGUUAAUUCCCUGGGGUCAUGACGGUACCGUAAGAAUAAGCACCGGCUAACUACGUGCCAGCCGCCGCGGUAA